Molecule: small nuclear RNA, 106 nt
Organism: Nannospalax galili (Upper Galilee mountains blind mole rat)
Lineage: Eukaryota; Metazoa; Chordata; Mammalia; Rodentia; Spalacidae
Source: Ensembl
GUGCUUGCUUUGUAGCACAUAUACUCAAAUUGGAAGUGUGCAGAGAAGAAUAGGAUGGCCUCUGUGCAUGGAUGUCAAGCAAAUUCUUGAAGGGCUCCAUACUGGA